UAUAUAUGCUGAAAUAAAAAAGAGAUAAAAAUUCUUCUCUCCAGCAAAAACACGUCUCUGCAGAACAGUAAAACAGAGGCAGGUGCAUAAGCUUGCUCUGUUUUGCUGCCCUCUCUAUCUUUAACUCUCUCUCUCUAAGUUUGUUCAAUCACAGAGCUUCCCUUGAAGCUUAUUUUCUCUUUCGAUCAACAAGUGGUAUCAGAGCCAAGUUCUCCUACGUCUCAGGUGAAUUAAAAAUUUCUCAAACCCGAUGACUACCUCAGGAACUACCCCUGCUCCGCAGUUCAACGGAGAAAAUUACCAUGUAUGGGCAAUAAAGAUGCGAGCUCACCUCAAAGCUCUGGGUUUAUGGGAUGUUAUUAUAGAC
Molecule: long non-coding RNA, 367 nt
Filed under: Carica papaya (papaya)
Lineage: Eukaryota; Viridiplantae; Streptophyta; Magnoliopsida; Brassicales; Caricaceae
Description: long non-coding RNA (CPAP_LNC008242)
Source: RNAcentral